GGGGGGGGCAAGCGUUGUUCGGAAUUACUGGGCGUAAAGGGCUCGUAGGCGGCCAACUAAGUCAGACGUGAAAUCCCUCGGCUUAACCGGGGAACUGCGUCUGAUACUGGAUGGCUUGAGUUCGGGAGAGGGAUGCGGAAUUCCAGGUGUAGCGGUGAAAUGCGUAGAUAUCUGGAGGAACACCGGUGGCGAAGGCGGCAUCCUGGACCGAUACUGACGCUGAGGAGCGAAAGCCAGGGGAGCAAACGGGAUUAGAUACCCCGGUAGUCCUGGCCCUAAACGAUGAAUGCUUGGUGUGGCGGGUAUCGAUCCCUGCCGUGCCGAAGCUAACGCAUUAAGCAUUCCGCCUGGGGAGUACGGUCGCAAGGCUG
This 371-nucleotide ribosomal RNA is filed under the name uncultured bacterium. RNAcentral describes it as "bacterial SSU rRNA". It matches the Rfam family "Bacterial small subunit ribosomal RNA", at positions 527 to 896 of the family's 1533-position model. The record is from RNAcentral.